Felis catus (domestic cat) is the source of this 85-nucleotide non-coding RNA. The record is from Rfam. NCBI's taxonomy places the organism in Eukaryota, Metazoa, Chordata, Mammalia, Carnivora, Felidae.
GCCUGGGUGGCUCAGUCGGUUGAGCGUCCGACUUCGGCUCAGGUCAUGAUCUCACAGUCCGUGAGUUCGAGCCCCACGUCGGGCU